RNAcentral lists this ribosomal RNA (253 nucleotides) under uncultured bacterium. Its description in RNAcentral is "partial 16S ribosomal RNA". It matches the Rfam family "Bacterial small subunit ribosomal RNA", at positions 524 to 776 of the family's 1533-position model. The record is from RNAcentral.
UACAGAGGUCUCAAGCGUUGUUCGGAUUCAUUGGGCGUAAAGGGUGUGUAGGUGGUGCGCUAAGUCGGGUGUGAAAUUUCGGAGCUUAACUCCGAAACUGCAUUCGAUACUGGCGUGCUUGAGGACUGGAGAGGAGACUGGAAUUCAUGGUGUAGCAGUGAAAUGCGUAGAGAUCAUGAGGAAGACCAGUGGCGAAGGCGGGUCUCUGGACAGUUCCUGACACUGAGACACGAAGGCCAGGGGAGCAAACGGG